UGCCUUAGUAACUGCGAGUGAAGCGGCAAAAGCUCAAAUUUGAAAUCGGUGUCCAUAAAGUACAUCGAGUUGUAAUUUGGAGGGACAACUUCGGGCCGAACCACACCGUAAGUUUUUUGGAACAGGACAUCAUAGAGGGUGAGAAUCCCGUGUCUUGGUGUAGGGUCAAACCAUGUGAAGUGUCUCCGACGAGUCGAGUUGUUUGGGAAUGCAGCUCAAAAUGGGUGGUAAAUUUCAUCUAAAGCUAAAUAUUGGCGAGAGACCGAUAGCGCACAAGUAGAGUGAUCGAAAGAUGAAAAGCACUUUGAAAAGAGAGUUAAAAAGUACGUGAAAUUGUUGAAAGGGAAGCGCUUGCGACCAGACUCGAUCUUUGGAGAUCAGCCGGGCUUCGGUUCGGUGCCCUCUUCAUUGAUUGGGCCAGCAUCGGUUCCGGCGGUGGGAUAAAAGGAGGAGGAAUGUGGCUCCCCUCGGGGAGUGUUAUAGCCACCUUCACAAUGCUACCAGUUGGGACCGAGGACCGCGCUUCGGCUAGGAUGCUGGUGUAAUGGUCUUAAGCGACCCGUCUUGAAACACGGACCAAGGAGUCUAACAUCUAUGCGAGUGUUCGGGUGGAAAACCCUUGCGCGUAAUGAAAGUGAACGGAGGUGUGAACCCUUUGCCGGGUGCAACAUCGACCGGUCCUGAUGUCUUCGGAAGGAUCUGAGUAAGAGCAUAGCUGUUGGGACCCGAAAGAUGGUGAACUAUGC
RNAcentral lists this ribosomal RNA (746 nucleotides) under Geopora cooperi f. gilkeyae. RNAcentral describes it as "partial large subunit ribosomal RNA". It matches the Rfam family "Eukaryotic large subunit ribosomal RNA", at positions 76 to 836 of the family's 3401-position model. Lineage: Eukaryota; Fungi; Ascomycota; Pezizomycetes; Pezizales; Pyronemataceae. The record is from RNAcentral.